This 486-nucleotide ribosomal RNA is filed under the name Bacillus sp. (in: firmicutes). Its description in RNAcentral is "Bacillus sp. (in: Bacteria) partial 16S ribosomal RNA". The stretch from base 60 to 486 matches the Rfam family "Bacterial small subunit ribosomal RNA", at positions 875 to 1298 of the family's 1533-position model. The record is from RNAcentral. Lineage: Bacteria; Bacillati; Bacillota; Bacilli; Caryophanales; Bacillaceae.
GUUCGAGGGCUUCGUGCCCUUGUAGUUUGCUGAACUUAAGCCUUUAAUCACACCCCCCGGGGGAUUCCGGCCCCAGAGUUGAACCCCAAUGGAUUUGCCGGGGGCCCCCCCAACCGGGGAACCAGGGGGUUUAUUUCAAACCACCCCGAAAAACCUUACCACGCCUGGACUUCCUCUAAAAACCCUAAAAAUCCGGCUUGCCCUUCGGAACUGUAAUGACGGGGCUGGCAGGGUUGUCUCCACUUCUGGUGUGGAAAGGUUGGGUUAAUCCCCGCACCAACCCCACCCCUUGACCUUAUUUGCCAUCAUUAAGUUGGGCACUCUAAGGUGACUGCCGGUGAUAACCGGAGGAAGGUGGGGAUGACGUCAAAUCAUCAUGCCCCCUUUAUGACCUGGGCUACACACGUGCUACAAUGGACUGUACAAAGAGGAUGCAAGACUGGCGAGGUGGAGCUAAAUCUCAUAAAACCGUAUCUCAGUUCCGGA